This 147-nucleotide long non-coding RNA is filed under the name Dasypus novemcinctus (nine-banded armadillo). Its description in RNAcentral is "lncRNA (ENSDNOG00000050851.1)". The record is from RNAcentral. Lineage: Eukaryota; Metazoa; Chordata; Mammalia; Cingulata; Dasypodidae.
UGGAAAGCUGAGACUUCAGGCGCUUGGUGACAGAUAUAAUUUGGAAGUCAAAUACUCUAAGGAAGCAGCUAGAGCGUGUGUGUGAGCUCCUCACACACACAGCACAGAUGCCUCCUGCAGGACCCCGACGCGUCUGUGAAGCAGCUG